GUGCCAGCCGCCGCGGUAAUACGGAGGGUGCAAGCGUUAAUCGGAAUUACUGGGCGUAAAGCGUGCGUAGGCGGUUAAUUAAGUCAGAUGUGAAAGCCCCGGGCUUAACCUGGGAACUGCAUUUGAUACUGGUUAACUAGAGUUGAGUAGAGGAGAGUGGAAUUUCAGGUGUAGCGGUGAAAUGCGUAGAUAUCUGAAGGAACACCAGUGGCGAAGGCGACUCUCUGGACUCAAACUGACGCUGAGGUACGAAAGCGUGGGUAGCAAACAGGAUUAGAAACCCGAGUAGUCC
RNAcentral lists this ribosomal RNA (292 nucleotides) under uncultured bacterium. Its description in RNAcentral is "partial 16S ribosomal RNA". It matches the Rfam family "Bacterial small subunit ribosomal RNA", at positions 505 to 796 of the family's 1533-position model. The record is from RNAcentral.